ACUACUAUUGCUAGACCCUAAGGUAAGAGAUGUUUAAUUUUGUAAAAAACUGCCAAAUUUUCUUCUAAAGUCGCUGUACCAAUUUGCAUGUCCAACAGCAAU
RNAcentral lists this microRNA precursor (102 nucleotides) under Marmota monax (woodchuck). The record is from RNAcentral. Lineage: Eukaryota; Metazoa; Chordata; Mammalia; Rodentia; Sciuridae.